GCAGUCGAGCGGUAACAGGGGUAGCUUGCUACCCGCUGACGAGCGGCGGACGGGUGAGUAAUGCAUAGGAAACUGCCCAGUAGUGGGGGAUAGCCCGGGGAAACCCGGAUUAAUACCGCAUACGUCCUUCGGGAGAAAGCAGGGGAUCUUCGGACCUUGCGCUAUUGGAUGUGCCUAUGUCGGAUUAGCUAGUUGGUGGGGUAAAGGCCCACCAAGGCGACGAUCCGUAGCUGGUCUGAGAGGAUGAUCAGCCACAUCGGGACUGAGACACGGCCCGAACUCCUACGGGAGGCAGCAGUGGGGAAUAUUGGACAAUGGGGGCAACCCUGAUCCAGCCAUGCCGCGUGUGUGAAGAAGGCUUUCGGGUUGUAAAGCACUUUCAGUGAGGAGGAAAAGUUAGUCGUUAAUAUCGGCUAGCCUUGACGUUACUCACAGAAGAAGCACCGGCUAACUCCGUGCCAGCAGCCGCGGUAAUACGGAGGGUGCAAGCGUUAAUCGGAAUUACUGGGCGUAAAGCGCGCGUAGGUGGUUUGAUAAGCGAGAUGUGAAAGCCCCGGGCUUAACCUGGGAACGGCAUUUCGAACUGUCAGGCUAGAGUGUGGUAGAGGGUAGUGGAAUUUCCUGUGUAGCGGUGAAAUGCGUAGAUAUAGGAAGGAACACCAGUGGCGAAGGCGGCUACCUGGACCA
This 687-nucleotide ribosomal RNA is filed under the name Marinobacter sp. RNAcentral describes it as "bacterial SSU rRNA". It matches the Rfam family "Bacterial small subunit ribosomal RNA", at positions 57 to 736 of the family's 1533-position model. The record is from RNAcentral. Lineage: Bacteria; Pseudomonadati; Pseudomonadota; Gammaproteobacteria; Pseudomonadales; Marinobacteraceae.